GAACGCAUAUUGCACUCUCUGGUAUUCCGAGGAGUAUGCCUGUUUCAGUAUCAGUAAACACCAUCAAACAACUCCUUGGAGGGGUUUGGAUUUGAGUGUUGCCGAGAAAACUCACCUUUUUUCGGCCCGCUCGAAAUGCAAGUACACAGGACAGGAUCCUAGACCCCCGAGGUGGGAAAAAAAAGCGUAGUAGUUGACUUGACUGUCUUCUUUCGCUGAAAAAGAACACCCGGUUUCUGGGACCUUGCUGUGCAAAUUCGCAGGAAGAAAAGUCAUAUUCUUUUCACUUCUUGAUCUGAAAUCAGGUAGGACUACCCGCUGAACUUAA
Molecule: unclassified non-coding RNA, 328 nt
Filed under: Gymnopus sp.
Lineage: Eukaryota; Fungi; Basidiomycota; Agaricomycetes; Agaricales; Omphalotaceae
Description: partial contains 5.8S ribosomal RNA, internal transcribed spacer 2, and large subunit ribosomal RNA
Source: RNAcentral